RNAcentral lists this ribosomal RNA (357 nucleotides) under uncultured bacterium. RNAcentral describes it as "bacterial SSU rRNA". It matches the Rfam family "Bacterial small subunit ribosomal RNA", at positions 917 to 1269 of the family's 1533-position model. The record is from RNAcentral.
GGACCCGCACAAGUAGUGGAGCAUGUGGUUUAAUUCGAAGAUACGCGCAGAACCUUACCAACACUUGACAUGUUCGUCGCGACUUUAAGAGAUUAAAGUUUUCGGUUCGGCCGGACGAAACACAGGUGCUGCAUGGCUGUCGUCAGCUCGUGUCGUGAGAUGUUGGUUAAGUCCCGCAACGAGCGCAACCCUCACUUUUAGUUGCCAUCAUUAAGUUGGGCACUCUGAAAGAACUGCCAGUGAUAAGCUGGAGGAAGGUGGGGAUGACGUCAAGUCCUCAUGGCCCUUACGUGUUGGGCUACACACGUGCUACAAUGGUAUCUACAACAGGAAGCAGCCACUAUGCGAAUAGGAGCU